AAUGUUCCAAUUAGCUUGAAAGCCUUCAGCAUUAUUCACAUUAUGAAUAUAUAUAAUUAUAAAUUAUAAAUAUAUACAAGAGAUUAAUUUCAAAAUUUUGUGCGUGAAUGGGCACAAGGCACAAAUUAAACAGACCUAGCUACAACAACAUGUAAGCAAAUAUAUAUAAUUAUAAAUGUUCCAAUUAGCUUGAAAGCCUUUAGCAUUAUUCACAUUAUGAAUAUAUACAAGAGAUUAAUUUCAAAAUUUUGUGCGUGAAUGGGCACAAGGCACAAAUUAAACAGACCUAGCUACAACAACAUGUAAGCAAAUAUAAUAUAACGAUUUUAAUUAAAUUGAACUAAUCAUGAAAACCUACACCGAAUGGUGAGCUAAUUUCUCACCA
Molecule: long non-coding RNA, 385 nt
Filed under: Populus trichocarpa (black cottonwood)
Lineage: Eukaryota; Viridiplantae; Streptophyta; Magnoliopsida; Malpighiales; Salicaceae
Description: long non-coding RNA (PTRI_LNC000161)
Source: RNAcentral